CUACCAUGAUGGUAUAUUUUUCUUCAACAGCAAUUCUCCUAAUGAAUGAUGAAGCUUUGGGUCUCAGUGA
Oryctolagus cuniculus (rabbit) is the source of this 70-nucleotide small nucleolar RNA. The record is from Ensembl. Lineage: Eukaryota; Metazoa; Chordata; Mammalia; Lagomorpha; Leporidae.